AUUGAACGCUGGCGGAAUGCUUUACACAUGCAAGUCGAACGGCAGCACGGGUGCUUGCACCUGGUGGCGAGUGGCGAACGGGUGAGUAAUACAUCGGAACGUACCUUAUCGUGGGGGAUAACGCAGCGAAAGCUGUGCUAAUACCGCAUACGCCCUGAGGGGGAAAGCGGGGGAUCGAAAGACCUCGCGCGAUUAGAGCGGCCGAUGCCUGAUUAGCUUGUUGGUGGGGUAAAAGCCCACCAAGGCGACGAUCAGUAGCUGGUCUGAGAGGACGAUCAGCCACACUGGGACUGAGACACGGCCCAGACUCCGACGGGAGGCAGCAGUGGGGAAUUUUGGACAAUGGGGGCAACCCUGAUCCAGCAAUGCCGCGUGAGUGAAGAAGGCCUUCGGGUUGUAAAGCUCUUUUGUCAGGGAAGAAACACCGGCUCUAACACAGUCCGGGAAUGACGGUACCUGAAGAAUAAGCACCGGCUAACUACGUGCCAGCAGCCGCCGUAA
RNAcentral lists this ribosomal RNA (501 nucleotides) under uncultured bacterium. RNAcentral describes it as "partial 16S ribosomal RNA". It matches the Rfam family "Bacterial small subunit ribosomal RNA", at positions 29 to 523 of the family's 1533-position model. The record is from RNAcentral.